AUACACACUAGAAAUCAAUCAAUCAAGAUCAACGGCAGUCAACUUCACACGUCCGAUUUCAGGUCAGUCUUAUUUCCGUCAACACAUCGCCAUCAGCUUCCAUGAUAAAAUCAUCGUUGUCCAAAACCCAUGCAAGAUCAACGGUCGUGAUCAUAAGUGUGCAAACUUUCAUGUUCACUGCUACACCAAUCUCUUAUUCCUCUUCAGUGUUCAGUCACUGGGUGAGUUUUCUACGUUUCUUUCUCUCUCCAAUAACCAGAAAAGAACAAAUGAAAUAGCAGAGAAAGUCCAUUCUUUGAUUAUUUCUUCCUUCUCGUACUUACUUCUUCGUCCAGAGACAAGCAUUUGAGUUAGUAGUGAUACAGAGAGAUAGAGGGGGAGAGAGAGAUGGAGGAGAGGCCAGAGACGGAGCUCAUAUCCAUUCCGGCGACUCCCCGUGCCUCGACGCCGGAGAUUCUAACGCCGUCAGGUCAGCGAUCGCCGAGGCCUCCUUCGAAGGAAGCGAAAUCGUCGAAUGCUUGGACACCAACGUCGUUCAUAUCGCCGAGGUUUUUGAGCCCCAUAGGGACGCCGAUGAAGAGGGUUUUGAUAAACAUGAAGGGAUAUUUGGAGGAGGUGGGGCACCUCACCAAGCUCAACCCACAAGAUGCUUGGCUACCCAUUACCGAGUCUCGCAAUGGCAACGCUCAUUACGCCGCGUUUCAUAAUCUAAAUGCUGGUGUUGGGUUUCAGGCCCUGGUUUUGCCUGUUGCCUUCGCUUUCCUUGGAUGGAGUUGGGGAAUAUUGUCCUUGACCAUAGCCUACUGUUGGCAACUUUAUACCUUGUGGGUUUUAGUUCAGUUACAUGAAGCUGUUCCUGGGAAGAGGUACAACAGAUACGUCGAGCUCGCACAAGCUGCAUUCGGGGAAAGGUUAGGCGUUUGGCUUGCUCUCUUUCCAACCGUUUAUUUGUCAGCUGGAACUGCAACAGCUUUGAUUCUUAUAGGAGGAGAGACGAUGAAACUCUUCUUCCAAAUAGUUUGUGGGCCUCUCUGUUCGUCGAAUCCCCUAACAACGGUUGAGUGGUACCUGGUAUUCACUUCUCUGUGCAUUGUACUGUCUCAGCUCCCAAACCUUAAUUCAAUUGCAGGACUUUCCCUUGUUGGUGCCAUAACAGCAAUAACAUAUUCCACCAUGGUGUGGGUGCUAUCUAUUAGUCAACAAAGGCCACCUUCAAUUUCCUAUGAACCCAUUUUUUUGCCAUCCUCUGCUGCUUCUGUCUUUUCAGUAUUGAAUGCGCUUGGAAUUGUAGCCUUUGCUUUCAGAGGGCAUAAUCUAGUCCUUGAGAUUCAGGCGACAAUGCCAUCGACCUUUAAGCACCCAGCUCACGUACCCAUGUGGAAAGGCGCCAAAGUUGCUUAUUUCUUCAUUGCCAUGUGCCUUUUCCCUAUUGCCGUUGGAGGCUUUUGGGCUUAUGGAAAUCUUAUGCCUUCAGGGGGAAUUCUCAAUGCUUUAUAUGGUUUCCACAGCCAUGAUAUUCCUCGAGGACUUCUGGCAUUGACUUUUCUGCUAGUUGUGUUCAAUUGCUUAAGCAGUUUCCAGAUAUAUUCAAUGCCUGUUUUUGACAGUUUUGAAGCUAGCUACAUCAGCCGUACCAACCGUCCAUGCUCAAUCUGGGUUCGGUCAGGAUUUCGGGUUUUCUAUGGGUUCGUCUCUUUCUUCAUAGGGGUUGCACUUCCUUUCCUAUCUAGUUUAGCUGGUUUACUGGGGGGACUUACCCUUCCAGUCACAUUUGCAUACCCUUGCUUCAUGUGGGUUCUCAUUAAAAGACCUACAAAGUACAGCUUCAAUUGGUAUUUCAACUGGAUCCUGGGUUGGUUGGGUAUUGCAUUUAGCUUGGCCUUUUCCAUUGGAGGCGUUUGGAGUAUCGUGAACAAUGGUCUGAGAUUAAAAUUCUUCAAGCCGCCGAAUUAGGAAGCAGCAAGCUUUUGAAUACUGUCGAUCAAUUAAUUUUGUAUGCUGUCUAUGUAUUUGCUUGAGGAAUCAAACACUCAUGUAUGCAUGUGUUUACUGUUUACAUAACCUGUCUUUCCUUUUUUGGUCUUAAAGAAUCAGCGUUGGAAUUUGUUAUCGAGAUAUGUAGAGUUGAUGGUCUUUAUGUUAUAAGUGUACCUGGGAUCAUGCCGCUUUUUCGUCUUUCUCAUGCAUAAGAAGAACACUAUUUUCCUGAAAAUUUUGUCAAGAAUUGCGGCAAUGAACUAUUUCUGUAAAAUGCAAAUGCAAGUUCUUGUGGGAAGAGGCUUAUGGGCCUGGUAUGCAUAAUGGGG
This 2306-nucleotide unclassified non-coding RNA is filed under the name Hevea brasiliensis (rubber tree). The record is from RNAcentral. Lineage: Eukaryota; Viridiplantae; Streptophyta; Magnoliopsida; Malpighiales; Euphorbiaceae.